RNAcentral lists this long non-coding RNA (1548 nucleotides) under Homo sapiens (human). RNAcentral's name for it is "HSALNT0045791". The record is from RNAcentral. Lineage: Eukaryota; Metazoa; Chordata; Mammalia; Primates; Hominidae.
AGUUGGCUGCGCUCCACCAGUAAGGGUUCUCGAGCCCCCGGGCAGCCUGCGGGGGGCAGCGAGGCGCAAAGACCAUGCCCCAAGUGCCGAGGGAAAGUCCUGAGAUGCGCGACUUGGGACGCUAGGGGCCAAGCUCCGACGCGGGGCUGGGUGCACCUGGACGCACCUCACACGCCGCGAGCUAAGCAGAAAAGGGAGGCAGGCUGCCCCGACACCCCACUACUCACCGCUAGGUUUCCGUCUGGCGCCGAUCCGGCUGCGUCACGCCGGCCGAACGACACCCCGCUGAGUCGCCGCCGCAGGGAAGGUACCUUCGGCCCCAACGGGAAAAGCCAAUUUCCAGUAAUUCGCGCCCGACCACCGGGGAGUGAAUGUUUCCCUCUGAGGAUGAAGAUCACUAUAAACAACUCUGAUGAGAUCAUGCUGACACAAUGCCCCUUCUGUCAAAGCCAUGGAUCCAAUUGUUGAAGGCUACAAAAAUAAGGACGUGACUUGACUCUCCUGCCUCUCUGCUUAUGUUCAAUUGAUAGCUGCUUCCAGAAACCUCACCGGCUCCUCAUCUCAACAGGCCAAAACUAUACCUCUUCAUAAGACCCAGCUUAGAUGGCAUCACCUCAAUAAAGCCUGCCAUGAUAACUUCAGCUAACAUCUGAGUUUCUCUCUAAAAUCCUCUUAUUAUACAAACCACAUUAUUAGUUAUCUAUAAACAUGUCUUUUCGAACACAGCAGGAGUUUCCUAAAAGCAGGUGCCACACAUGUAAUUCUCCAUAUUUUCAGUGUCCAACUCAAUGGCAUACAUCCAAAAACAUUCAUAAAUAUUGGUCAAAUAAAACAAUUUGAAGAUAUAAAUAAAAUAUUAAUAAUACAAUCAAUUAUAGUAGUUUUACAUACUUUAUAAAAUACAUUAUCAAAAAAAUGCAUUAUCAAUAUCUACCCCUGUACUCAACCUAAUUAGUUCAAACAAGUUACACUUAUAGACAUUUGAAUUGUUUUUUCUUUUUUUGAGACAGGGUCUUGCUCUCUUGCCCAGGCUUGAGCACAGUGGCACAAUCAUGGCUCACUGCAUCCUCGAUGUCCUCGGCUCCAGAGAUCUUCCCAUCUCAGUAUCCUCAGUAGCUGGGACUACAGGCAUAUGCCACCAUGCCCAGCUAAUUUUUUAUAGAGACGAGGUUUGGCCAAGCUGCCCAGGCUGGUCUCAAACUCCUGGGCUCAAGUGAUCCUCCCACCUUGGCCUCCUAAAGUGCUGGAAUUACAGGCAUGAGUCACUACAUCCGGCCUCAAUUUAUUUAUUAUUUUUAAUUUUUUUUUUUUUUUGAGACGGAGUCUCACUCUUUCACCCAGGCUGGAGUGCAGUGGUACAAUCUUGGCUCACUGCAACCUCUAACUCCUCAGUUCCAGCAAUUCUCCUGCCUCAGCCUCCCAGGUAGCUGGGAUUACAGGAACACACCACCAUGCUCAGCUAAUUUCUGUAUUUUUAGUAGAGACGGAGUCUCACCAUGUUGGCCAGGCUGGUCUCGAACUCCUGACCUCAAGUGAUAUGCCUGCCUU